GCCCGGAUGGCGAAAUUGGUAGACGCGCUAGGUUCAGGGUCUAGUGGGAGAACUCCCAUACAGGUUCGAGUCCUGCUCCGGGCA
This 84-nucleotide transfer RNA is filed under the name Acidobacteriota bacterium. RNAcentral describes it as "tRNA-Leu". It matches the Rfam family "tRNA". Rfam says of the family: Transfer RNA (tRNA) molecules are approximately 80 nucleotides in length. Lineage: Bacteria; Pseudomonadati; Acidobacteriota. The record is from RNAcentral. RNAcentral also lists the same sequence under 4 other names.